CCCAGCAGAAGCCACUCUCCUCCCUCGUGCCGUCUUGCGCACUCGCCGCCCUUGUGUUUCCUCUUUACUAGUCUUUCAAACCUUGCGCCGCCGCCGGCCGCCGUCAAUCCUGCGACUGCCCGCCGCCCCCCGCGUCCACGGAGGUCUCCGAGCCAGGCGCCUCCACGACCUUGCCAGGAAGCUCAUAGCAAGGAGUAGGGGCUUAGAUUUGAGAGAUCGGUUGGAGUUGCUCUUAGUUACACAGUCAGGAAGACAAGACAUUAGUUAGGUUCAGGUGCCAGACAGCUGCUUCUUAGAAAAGCGAGUCUCAGAAAAGCAAUUCCAAACAGGGCCUAUCCAUAUUCCUCCCCGGCCGCUGCUAUGAAGCCUGCUGACAAUGAGGCAGCCACCGUGGGGAAGGCACAGCGCAAGGACAAGAAGCAGAAAAGGAAGAAGCGGAACGAUGCCACAGAUGACCACUGUGGUGCCACAAUGGCCAAGGAAGGCACACCCCAUGAGAAGAAGAAGCAGAAGCAGAGGAAAGAUGGGGGUGAGGUGGAGGAGAAGAUGAAAAUGCUGAAGCCGACUGUGAGCAUUGCCAUUGCCGGCUCCAUCAUCGACAACGCCCAGUCCCUCGAGCUCGCUACCCUGCUAGCUGGCCAGAUCGCCCGUGCUGCAACAGUCUUCCGCAUAGACGAGGUCGUCGUCUUCGACAGCACUCCCACUUCAGAGAAUGGUGACACAGGUGACGGUGAAGAGAGUGGUGCGCGUUUCCUUGUUCGGAUACUGGAGUAUCUGGAGACUCCGCAGUACUUGCGCCGGCGUCUUUUCCCCAUGCACAAGAACCUAAAGUUUGUGGGAUUGCUUCCACCACUCGAUGCGCCACACCAUGUGCGCAAGCACGAAUGGUCUGAGUUUCGUGAAGGUGUAACAUUGGAGGGUGAUCGCUCAAAGGGAACCCUUGUUGAUGUGGGAUUAAGCAAGAAUAUUCUUGUUGAGCAAAUACUAGAACCAGGGAAAAGGGUAACUGUAGCCAUGGGAACCAAUCGUGACCUAACAACAGCUUGCAUAAGGGAAGUUGUUCCCCCCUCCACCCCUAGGGAAGAGAUGGGAUCUUAUUGGGGCUAUAAAGUGCGUUAUGCUUCAAAUUUAAGUGGUGUUUUAAAAAAUUCCCCAUACAAGGAAGAAUAUGACCAUAUCAUUGGCACUUCAGAGCAUGGACAAAUAAUUAAUUCUUCGGAGCUGACCUUACCUUCUUUUAGGCACCUUCUGAUUGCGUUUGGUGGACUUGCUGGUUUGGAAGAAAGCAUUGAAGAAGAUACAAAUUUGAAAGGUAAACAUGCGAAUGAUGUAUUCACAUCUUAUUUGAAUACGUGCCCCAACCAAGGGAGCAGAACAAUAAGAACAGAGGAGGCCCUUCUCAUUUCCCUCCAAUACUUCCAAGAUCCCAUUAGACGAGUAGAACAGCAGAUGUAGGUUGUCAUACAGAUGCAUGCAAAUCCGUCCUUGGGCAACAAAAAGCUGGUUGCUAUAGAGCUCCAGUGGUGACAGUAAGUUUUCUCACAGAAAAUUUUGGCCUGUUUGCCUAUGUGACAGUGAAUUUUAGACAAGAGUUUCUGAACAUCCUACUGCUGUGGCGAAAAUUUUAUGUAGAACUGAUUUCACUGUGUUAGGUGGCCAUUUCAAUGUAUCCAGUGGUAUCCAAGGGGACAUAUCUAUCGUUGUUUCAUGCCGUUGACCAUGUACCAACAACGAAGGAUUUCUGUUAAUGCCGAAGGUGCACCAUCCUGCGGGAUCAGCACUAGCUGUUGCAAUGGCGACCCAAUUCCUGCAAGACGCCUUUGGCACCGGCCCUGAAUCCAGAGGCUAACCUCCUCGACGAUCUCCCGGAGCAGCUGCGCAACUCUGCCAUACGUUUGGCUGAAGAUGCACGCGUCCCGUUCUUUCCAUCCCUGUGCUUGGAACAUGCAACCAUGGAUCACUGCGCAAUGGAUUGACUUCUGUCUCACUGAAUAUGGUAGAUUCUCGCGCAUAGACCGCGAUUGCCGUCUCAGUCACUAGAGCAUUGCUUCACGAGGCCUCCCCGUCCUACUACUAUACAGGAUGUUUCAUUGCUACUCGGCACUGCUAUCACAGACACUGCACGUCAUGGCGGCUCUGAACAAAGUGGCACGAUUCUACCUCCGUUUCUCGAGUUUUAGACGGUCAGUGUGAAUUGAUGUUUCUAUUUCCCUCUUAUCUUUUUCUGUUUCCUGGAUAUGUAAUCCCUAUGUAUUUAAAGAUAAAGUUGAUCAUGUUUGGUGCAACAACCACAAGAAUCA
Molecule: RNA transcript, 2300 nt
Organism: Setaria italica (foxtail millet)
Lineage: Eukaryota; Viridiplantae; Streptophyta; Magnoliopsida; Poales; Poaceae
Gene name: putative methyltransferase C9orf114 homolog
Exons: 13
Source: RefSeq, a predicted model, not a curated record